RNAcentral lists this ribosomal RNA (253 nucleotides) under uncultured bacterium. Its description in RNAcentral is "partial 16S ribosomal RNA". It matches the Rfam family "Bacterial small subunit ribosomal RNA", at positions 524 to 776 of the family's 1533-position model. The record is from RNAcentral.
UACGUAGGUGGCAAGCGUUAUCCGGAUUUAUUGGGCGUAAAGCGAGCGCAGGCGGUUGCUUAGGUCUGAUGUGAAAGCCUUCGGCUUAACCGAAGAAGGGCAUCGGAAACCGGGCGACUUGAGUGCAGAAGAGGACAGUGGAACUCCAUGUGUAGCGGUGGAAUGCGUAGAUAUAUGGAAGAACACCAGUGGCGAAGGCGGCUGUCUGGUCUGCAACUGACGCUGAGGCUCGAAAGCAUGGGUAGCGAACAGG